This 336-nucleotide ribosomal RNA is filed under the name uncultured soil bacterium. RNAcentral describes it as "bacterial SSU rRNA". It matches the Rfam family "Bacterial small subunit ribosomal RNA", at positions 26 to 363 of the family's 1533-position model. The record is from RNAcentral.
AGAUUGAACGCUGGCGGCAGGCCUAACACAUGCAAGUCGAGCGGAUGAAGAGAGCUUGCUCUCUGAUUCAGCGGCGGACGGGUGAGUAAUGCCUAGGAAUCUGCCUGGUAGUGGGGGACAACGUUUCGAAAGGAACGCUAAUACCGCAUACGUCCUACGGGAGAAAGCAGGGGACCUUCGGGCCUUGCGCUAUCAGAUGAGCCUAGGUCGGAUUAGCUAGUUGGUGAGGUAAUGGCUCACCAAGGCGACGAUCCGUAACUGGUCUGAGAGGAUGAUCAGUCACACUGGAACUGAGACACGGUCCAGACUCCUGCGGGAGGCAGCAGUAGGGGAAUA